Molecule: ribosomal RNA, 2931 nt
Filed under: Arsenophonus sp. ENCA
Lineage: Bacteria; Pseudomonadati; Pseudomonadota; Gammaproteobacteria; Enterobacterales; Morganellaceae
Description: bacterial LSU rRNA
Rfam family: Bacterial large subunit ribosomal RNA
Source: RNAcentral
GGGUUGUGAGGUUAAGCGAAUGAAGCGUACACGGUGGAUGCCUAGGCAGUCAGAGGCGAUGAAGGACGUGCUAAUCUGCGAAAAGCGUCGGUAAGCUGAUAUGAAGCGUACUAGCCGGCGAUGUCCGAAUGGGGAAACCCAGUGCAUUAAUGCACUAUCGUUUGAUGAAUUCAUAGUCAAACGAGGCGAACCGGGGGAACUGAAACAUCUCAGUACCCCGAGGAAAAGAAAUCAACCGAGAUUCCCCCAGUAGCGGCGAGCGAACGGGGAGCAGCCCAGAGUCAGCAUCAAUAUUUACCGCAGGAGAAGGGUCUGGAAAGGCCGGCAAUAAAGGGUGAUAGCCCCGUAUCUGAAGCGGUAAGUGUUGUGAACUCGAAGAGUAGGGCGGGACACGUGUUAUCCUGUCUGAAUAUGGGGGGACCAUCCUCCAAGGCUAAAUACUCCUGACUGACCGAUAGUGAACCAGUACCGUGAGGGAAAGGCGAAAAGAACCCCGGCGAGGGGAGUGAAAUAGAACCUGAAACCGUGUACGUACAAGCAGUGGGAGCGCCCGAAAGGGUGUGACUGCGUACCUUUUGUAUAAUGGGUCAGCGACUUAUAUUCUGUAGCAAGGUUAACCGCAUAGGGGAGCCGUAGGGAAACCGAGUCUUAACUGGGCGUUAAGUUGCAGGGUAUAGACCCGAAACCCGGUGAUCUAGCCAUGGGCAGGUUGAAGGUUGGGUAACACUAACUGGAGGACCGAACCGACUAAUGUUGAAAAAUUAGCGGAUGACUUGUGGCUGGGGGUGAAAGGCCAAUCAAACCGGGAGAUAGCUGGUUCUCCCCGAAAGCUAUUUAGGUAGCGCCUCGUGAACUCAUCUUCGGGGGUAGAGCACUGUUUCGGCUAGGGGGUCAUCCCGACUUACCAACCCGAUGCAAACUACGAAUACCGAAGAAUGUUAUCACGGGAGACACACGGCGGGUGCUAACGUCCGUCGUGAAGAGGGAAACAACCCAGACCGCCAGCUAAGGUCCCCAAGUCAUGGUUAAGUGGGAAACGAAGUGGGAAGGCUUAGACAGCCAGGAUGUUGGCUUAGAAGCAGCCAUCAUUUAAAGAAAGCGUAAUAGCUCACUGGUCGAGUCGGCCUGCGCGGAAGAUGUAACGGGGCUAAACCAUGCACCGAAGCUGCGGCAGCGACACUUAGGUGUUGUUGGGUAGGGGAGCGUUCUGUAAGCCGUAGAAGGUGGACUGAGAGGUCUGCUGGAGGUAUCAGAAGUGCGAAUGCUGACAUAAGUAACGAUAAAGCGGGUGAAAAACCCGCUCGCCGAAAGACCAAGGUUUCCUGUCCAACGUUAAUCGGGGCAGGGUAAGUCGACCCCUAAGGCGAGGCUGAAAAGCGUAGUCGAUGGGAAACGGGUUAAUAUUCCCGUACUAAGGGUUACUGCGAAGGGGGGACGGAGAAGGCUAGGCUAUCCGGGCGACGGUUGUCCCGGUUUAAGCGAGUAGGUGGGUAGUGCAGGCAAAUCCGCACUGCUACAACACUGAGACGUGAUAACGAGCCACCAAGGUGGUGAAGUAGUUGAUGCCCAGCUUCCAGGAAAAGCCUCUAAGCGAUAGGUAAUCAUUAAUCGUACCCCAAACCGACACAGGUGGUUAGGUAGAGAAUACUCAGGCGCUUGAGAGAACUCGGGUGAAGGAACUAGGCAAAAUGGUGCCGUAACUUCGGGAGAAGGCACGCUGGCAUUAGGUGAAGGGUCUUGCAUCCGGAGCUGAAGCCAGUCGAAGAUACCAGCUGGCUGCAACUGUUUAUUAAAAACACAGCACUGUGCAAACACGAAAGUGGACGUAUACGGUGUGACGCCUGCCCGGUGCUGGAAGGUUAAUUGAUGGGGUAAGCCGUAAGGCGAAGCUCUUGAUCGAAGCCCCAGUAAACGGCGGCCGUAACUAUAACGGUCCUAAGGUAGCGAAAUUCCUUGUCGGGUAAGUUCCGACCUGCACGAAUGGCGUAAUGAUGGCCAGGCUGUCUCCACCCGAGACUCAGUGAAAUUGAACUCGCUGUGAAGAUGCAGUGUACCCGCGGCAAGACGGAAAGACCCCGUGAACCUUUACUAUAGCUUGACACUGAACAUUGAGCCUUGAUGUGUAGGAUAGGUGGGAGGCUUUGAAGUGUGGACGCCAGUCUGCAUGGAGCCAACGUUGAAAUACCACCCUUUAAUGUUUGAUGUUCUAACUUAGGCCCGUAAUCCGGGCUGAGGACAGUGUCUGGUGGGUAGUUUGACUGGGGCGGUCUCCUCCCAAAGUGUAACGGAGGAGCACGAAGGUUGGCUAAUCACGGUCGGACAUCGUGAGGUUAGUGCAAAGGCAUAAGCCAGCUUGACUGCGAGCGUGACGGCGCGAGCAGGUACGAAAGUAGGUCUUAGUGAUCCGGUGGUUCUGAAUGGAAGGGCCAUCGCUCAACGGAUAAAAGGUACUCCGGGGAUAACAGGCUGAUACCGCCCAAGAGUUCAUAUCGACGGCGGUGUUUGGCACCUCGAUGUCGGCUCAUCACAUCCUGGGGCUGAAGUAGGUCCCAAGGGUAUGGCUGUUCGCCAUUUAAAGUGGUACGCGAGCUGGGUUUAGAACGUCGUGAGACAGUUCGGUCCCUAUCUGUCGUGGGCGAAGGAAGAUUGAGGGGAGCUGCUCCUAGUACGAGAGGACCGGAGUGGACGCACCACUGGUGUACAGGUUGUCAUGCCAAUGGCAUCGCCUGGUAGCUAAGUGCGGAAGAGAUAACCGCUGAAAGCAUCUAAGCGGGAAACUUGCCUCAAGAUGAGUCUUCCCUGACAGUAAUGUCCUAUAAGGGGUGUUCGAGACGAGGACGUAGAUAGGCUGGGUGUGUAAGCGUAGCGAUACGUUGAGCUAACCAGUACUAAUGACCCGAGAGGCUUAACCUGACAACACCGAAGGUGUUU